Molecule: ribosomal RNA, 482 nt
Filed under: uncultured bacterium
Lineage: Bacteria
Description: partial 16S ribosomal RNA
Rfam family: Bacterial small subunit ribosomal RNA
Source: RNAcentral
GACGAACGCUGGCGGCGUGCUUAACACAUGCAAGUCGAACGAUGAAGAAGAGAAACGCGAACUUCGGUUCAAAUGUCACUUCGGAUUAGUGGCAGACGGGUGAGUAACGCGUGAUCAACCUACCUCUUACAAAGGGAUAGCCUCUGGAAACCGUGAUUAAUACCAUAUGACACAUUCAUAAGUCAUCUUAAGAAUGUUAAAGCUACGGCGGUAAGAGAUGGGCUCGCGUCCCAUUAGCUGGUUGGUGAGGUAACGGCCCACCAAGGCGACGAUGGGUACACGGGAAGAGAGACACAGUGCUCACACUGGAAGUGAGCAGCAGUCGAGAAUACUGCGGGAGGGGGCAGUGGCGAAUAUUGCAAAACCGAGGGAGUGAAGAAGGAGCGCCGGCGGGUAAGCGAUGAAGGUAUUAGAGAAAUAAAGCUGUGUUAUAUGGGAAGAAAAGGACUGUACCAAAGGAGAAAGCCCCGGCUAAAUACGUG